GACGAACGCUGGCGGCGUGCUUAACACAUGCAAGUCGAACGGAGAGGCCCCCACUUUUUUGGUGGGGGUGCUCGAGUGGCGAACGGGUGAGUAACACGUGGGUGAUCUGCCCUGUACUUCGGGAUAAGCUUGGGAAACUGGGUCUAAUACCGGAUAGGACCAUGGUUUAGUGUCUCAUGGUGGAAAAAUUAUUGUUUUGGUGCAGGAUGAGCUCGCGGCCUAUCAGCUUGUUGGUGGGGUAAUGGCCUACCAAGGCGUCGACGGGUAGCCGGCCUGAGAGGGUGGACGGCCACAUUGGGACUGAGAUACGGCCCAGACUCCUACGGGAGGCAGCAGUGGGGAAUAUUGCACAAUGGGCGCAAGCCUGAUGCAGCGACGCCGCGUGGGGGAUGACGGCCUUCGGGUUGUAAACUCCUUUCGUUAGGGACGAAGCCGCACCUUUUUUGGGUGUGGUGACGGUACCUUUGUUAAGAAGCACCGGCUAACUACGUG
RNAcentral lists this ribosomal RNA (492 nucleotides) under uncultured bacterium. RNAcentral's name for it is "partial 16S ribosomal RNA". It matches the Rfam family "Bacterial small subunit ribosomal RNA", at positions 28 to 507 of the family's 1533-position model. The record is from RNAcentral.